CGCCAUAUAUUGUCUCAACAUCCUUACCUCUUCAACCAACCCAUUGCCUUGUUCAACCAAUUGCAUUUGGGUACCAGUAUCAACCGACUCGAUUCCGUUGCUGUCUGCCAUUGCCUUUCGACCUUAUGUUGUAGAGAAGAGUUACCACUUUAAGAACCACAAACCAACCACCUUUCUGCUAUGAAGAUAUCAAAAGGAACAAAACGGGGUCAUCCCGUUAGCGUUAAGGCAUUUAACAGCAAAAAUAUCACCUUGCGUGCAAUGCACCUAGCAACAAUUAAUGGUUCUAGAAUGACUUCGAGGGUCAUAAGGUCACUUGGUAUCAUCCCAAUUUUGUUCAUUUCAAUCUUCUCUUUUCUUUCUUUUCUAACACUUCUUGGCUCGCUCAUUUUCUUUCCCUUUUUUUCUUUCUGAUUAUCGCUCUUUUCUUUCCUCUCAUUUCUCAUAUCCCCUAAUUUCAUCUCUCUUUUUUUCUUUUUCCUCUCUUUUUUUUUCUUUGCCUUUUUUCCUUUUUCUUUUAAAAUAAAAAAAAUGAUUCGAUCGAACCCUAUGUAGGUUGCCUACAUAUCAUGAUGCUGCAUGAAUCAGAUCUUUGAGUAGUUCUGGAAAAUCGAGAAUAAAGUGAACAAACUAACUUUCUCAUCAUUUUUUUUCUUAAUGACUACUCUGAGAGAUAAGGGAAAUAAAAGAAACAAAUCUCUCUGUCUUUUCUAUUUUUUUCUAGACUUAAUGUUUUAUAACCUAUUCUAAACUCAGGCUUAACGGAUUUUUUUCUCUUUUUUUUGACACAAAUUCUCUAUUAAGGAAAAAUUCCUAGAAGAGAAAAAUAUUUUUUGACUUUUUUUAGGAAGGAAAUCAUGUCGUUCUCUUUUUCUUCUAUGUAUAAUGUCCUAAAGUUCUAAUAAAAAUAAAAGAAUUAGUUUCCAAAAGAAGAACCUCAAAAGAAAAUCUUUUUGGAAUUUUGAAAUUAAUACCUUAAAGAAAACCCUUUAAAGGGGUACUAAAGAAAAUUCUCUUUUUUAAAAAAAAAUUUUUAGUCCUAAUAUACUAAAGGACAUAUGAACGCAAAAAAUUCCUAUUUGGAGUUCUAGAUAUUAAUUUCCUAAGGAGAAACACCUCAAAAGAUUUUUUUUUUUAAUUCUAGAAUUGGUUUUCUAAAGAAAACUUUCAAAAGAAAUAAAAACGCAAAGUCUCUUUUUUUGGAUUUUUGAUUUAUAACACACUUUUUUUUUCAAUAGAAAAAUAGAAAAUACAAUAAUCAAAGACAUCGACAUUACUUUACAAAGCUAGAAGAUAAAAGACAACAAAAGAAAAAUAGACUCAAAACAUCAAAAGAAAAAUCACCUACAUGACCGAUCCUGACUAGUUGUCCUGGGCUAUAUCAUGCUCAAACUCCGAUAAGUAAAUCCACACAUGUAUGAGAAAAUUAAAACCAAAUAGGUUAAAGACCUAGAGCGCUAUGUGAGAUAAUAACUCUUUCUGUUGGAAAAAUGCAAGACAUGAUUUAGGCUAUUUUUGCAAAAUGACUUAUUUGGCCAAAAGAUGGCUAGAAGUACAAAAUUUGGCUAAGACUCGGCAAAUCCAAGAACCUAAGAUUUACUAGGAAGACUGGACCCUAUGUGGGUUGCCUACGUAUCCCGCCCCGAAAGACGAGAAUCAGGUAUGUGUAGUUCGGUCAGAUUUGAUACGGGCGAGAAUUAAAAGAAAAAUAACUAAUUCAACGAAAAUAUGUUUUUAUUUUGAAAAAUGAUGAAACAUAUAAACUCUUUUUGGAUUUUUUUUCCUUUUUUUUUUUGAAUUUUCAACCUCUUUUGUUUCCUUAACAAAAAUGUGACAGAAAACAUAAUUGGGCCCCACUCACUUUAUUUCAUACUUCACACUCUUUUUUUUUUCAUUUGCCCUCAACUAUCUUUGGUCCGCCAAAUUACCCUUUCUACCCUUGCAAAAAUGCAACAUGUAGCACAUAAGAUGCAUCAAUAUGGUCUUUUAUUUUUGGAUACACCUGUCUUAGACGGACCCAACCCCUGUGUUGAGUCCCCAAAGCCAAAUGCAUAUGAUGCAAACAAGCGUCCUACUAGGGAUCCGACAUGAGGCUGAGUUAUUCUAGGUUCAAAACCUGGGCAUACUGUUCUAUACUUGUGCACCCGAGCGGACAACUCGAGCCGAGGAAGGGGCUACGUAUCGGGAACCAAAAGGCCAUCCGGCUCAGUAACUUAUCCGAGCCUCUUUCUUAUUUCAAGGUAUGUCACUAACAGAAUAGGGAGUCACGACCAGCAUGUACAUCCCCGAAAAUGAGAAGAGAAGGGUUUCGUAGCAGUUUAUAUACAGUUCAGAUAAUAUCAAAACGGUAAAAGCAUCAUUUAACACAUUAGGCCCAAGCAUGUAAUAAAAUCAGAUAACAGAUAAAGCCAAAUACAACAAUUCAUCUAAGCUCGAAUUCUGAACCCUGAACCAGAUAUUCUGGGUUCUUAUCCCCAGCAGAGUCGCCAGAGCUGUCACACCUCCGUUUUACCUACACCUCUGUAAAGGGGUAUAUAAGGGAGUUUUUUCCAACUUAAAGUGACAAUCGAAACGGGAUUAUUUAUUUAUUUAUUAAAUUCAGAGUCGCCACUUGGGAUAGUUUUAGGGUGUCCCAAGUCACCGGUUCAAAUCCCGAAUCGAGGAAAAGAUUGACUCUGUUUUACAAUCUGCAAACACAAAAAUUUGGGUAAAAGAAUUCUAUUAACCCGAGAGAAGGUGUUAGGCAUUCCCGAAUUCCGUGGUUCUAGCACGGUCGCUCAACUGUUAUAAUUGGCCUAUUAUCUGAUUUUAACACAUGUUUUAACUUAUGGUUCAAUUUUAAACUUUAUAACCGCUUUAAUUAUUUUUAAGAAAAAUUUCAACGUUAUCUAAAACACAUCUUGAACCACGUCACAUAAAUACACCUNNNNNNNNNNNNNNNNNNNNNNNNNUUAAAUAGCGCGCCUAAAGCAGCUACGCACUUCAUGAACUAUUUUUCCUUAAACGACUUUGAGAUUAUAGUAAAGGCCAUAGGUUAUGAAAAUUUUGUAUAAAAAUAUAAAUUAGAGAUAUCUGCAACUUAUCAGAUUGUUGGCAAUCUCUAUCAAGAAAUCGUUCAACAUUUGGGUUUAAUAAUAGGGACAAUGUUUGGGUAUUCAAUGUUUAAUUCCUAAGUGACAAAAUUGAUUCUCCUAUGAGCCAAUAUCAGCCCUCAGUGAGGGUUAACCCUUUAACUACUCAAUGGCUCAUUUAAAACCCAAUCACGACCUCAACGCCUUAAAAGUCCAUUUUAAAUUCAUCUUUUACCUUCUUUAAUAUUAAAACACAUGGACCCAAAAAUUCUUCUAAGUUCUAUUCAUCAAACCUCAAGGCUCUCUGCAGAUUUCUUUUGAAAAAAAAACUAAACUUCUUUUAAAAAAGAUUUAUUAACCGUACUCUACAAUUAUCGUAGAGAAAGCAAUGAACCAAUCGACACUUUAUCAAGCAAAAAUAGUGAACAAGAUGCAAAUCACUCCAAAAUUGCAACAAAAAGAAACAUAAUGUGAAUCUAUAAUGAAUAGUGAAGGGAAUAACCUUAAUUGUCUUUUAUUUCUGAAACUCAAAUUUGCGCAGAGGGUCUUACAUUUGAACAGAGCUUGGAGCAAAAAUGUUUAAACUCAAAACCAACAUACAGAGAAAUUGAUUCCAACGAACAGAGACCGGAAACCAAUCGUCGAACUCAAAUAGGACCUCGCCGGCGACCUCGAAACCUGCCGAAAAACUUGAAUCCCCACAACAACAAAAACUAGAAGAAAGAAGCUAUUUAUAACGGGGUUUGGCAGUUAUUUGGAGCCGAUUUCAAGAUCGAUUUCAACUGGGUUUUGCGACUGAUAUUGCUGCUUUUAGGACUGUUUCUCGGGAGAUUUUGGGGUUAAAUGGCUGCUUCUUUGGCUGAAUUUUGUUACUUUAUUUUUCAGCUGCAUUUAAGAGGUGCGUUGCAACUGUUUUGGGCUGGUUUUUGUGGGAAAUGGUGGUGCGAUGAGUGGAAAUUUUGUAGUGUUAAAACUGGAGAAGAGAGUUGAAAGUCUAUGAAUUUUCUCCUAUAGAAACGGGAAUUCCAAUUGAGGAAGAAGGCUGCCCGUUUGUUUUUCUCGUCACUCUCUAUUUCAGUCCUUUUUUCCAGAUCUUUUCUCUCUUUCUUCUCCCUUUUU
Molecule: long non-coding RNA, 4190 nt
Filed under: Nicotiana tabacum (common tobacco)
Lineage: Eukaryota; Viridiplantae; Streptophyta; Magnoliopsida; Solanales; Solanaceae
Description: long non-coding RNA (NTAB_LNC017810)
Source: RNAcentral